RNAcentral lists this ribosomal RNA (435 nucleotides) under uncultured bacterium. RNAcentral describes it as "partial 16S ribosomal RNA". It matches the Rfam family "Bacterial small subunit ribosomal RNA", at positions 29 to 507 of the family's 1533-position model. The record is from RNAcentral.
AGCGAACGCUGGCGGCAGGCUUUACACAUGCAAGUCGAGCGGGCAUCUUCGGAUGUCAGCGGCAGACGGGUGAGUAACACGUGGGAACGUACCCUUCGGUUCGGAACAACUCUGGGAAACUGGAGCUAAUACCGGAUACGCCCUUAUGGGGAAAGGUUUACUGCCGAAGGAUCGGCCCGCGUCUGAUUAGCUAGUUGGUGGGGUAACGGCCUACCAAGGCGACGAUCAGUAGCUGGUCUGAGAGGAUGAUCAGCCACACUGGGACUGAGACACGGCCCAGACUCCUACGGGAAGCAGCAGUGGGGAAUAUUGGACAAUGGGCGCAAGCCUGAUCCAGCCAUGCCGCGUGAGUGAUGAAGGCCUUAGGGUUGUAAAGCUCUUUUGUCCGGGACGAUAAUGACGGUACCGGAAGAAUAAGCCCCGGCUAACUUCGUG